GCUGCCGGGCGCCUCCCACUCCUCCCAGCCUCAUUUAAAUACAUGUGUCCACCCUGAGUCCACCUGAGCAUCGCGAUGACACCCCUGGGGACAUGAAGUGAUGAGUGUCUCAGCACACUGUUCCUUGUGGCGGCGUGUUGCAACCUCCAGCGCAUCUGAAGUUGACCGCCCGUGACCGCCCGCCGACCUUGCUCAGCCCAUGCAGUGUGUGUGGGCGUGGGCGUGUGUGUGUGUAUGUUGGUGGGUGGAGGGACUGGCCGCCUCACUCCCUCUGCCCUCCACGCUGGCUUUUCUUUUAUUGUUGUAAAGUUUGUGUGUUGUGUGUUUGCCUUCGUUAUAAGAGAUGUAAUUAGUGUGAACUUCUUCGUGUUUUAUUUUUUUUUUCUCUUUCUUGCUCUUUUUUAUUGAUUUAUUCAUUAUGGGAAGUAAAGUGUAUGUUUGUGUGUUUGUUUGUUUUUUUAUGGGGUUGGCAAUUACUGUCGUCUUUUUUCCGUUUU
Molecule: long non-coding RNA, 497 nt
Organism: Scylla paramamosain (green mud crab)
Lineage: Eukaryota; Metazoa; Arthropoda; Malacostraca; Decapoda; Portunidae
Exons: 3
Source: RefSeq, a predicted model, not a curated record